RNAcentral lists this ribosomal RNA (399 nucleotides) under uncultured bacterium. RNAcentral describes it as "bacterial SSU rRNA". It matches the Rfam family "Bacterial small subunit ribosomal RNA", at positions 29 to 414 of the family's 1533-position model. The record is from RNAcentral.
AAUCAACGCUGGCGGCGUGCCUAACACAUGCAAGUCGAACGCGAAAACCCCGCAAGGGGUUAGUAGAGUGGCAAACGGGUGAGUAACACGUGGGUGACCUGCCUUCGAGUGGGGGAUAACGUCCCGAAAGGGACGCUAAUACCGCAUAACAUCCUGCCUUUGAAGAGGUGGAGAUCAAAGCUGGGGACCGCAAGGCCUAGCGCUCAAAGGAGGGGCCCGCGCCUGAUUAGCUAGUUGGUGGGGUAAGGCUCACCAAGGCAACGAUCAGUAUCCGGCCUGAGAGGGCGGACGGACACACUGGGACUGAGACACGGCCCAGACUCCUACGGGAGGCAGCAGUGGGGAAUUGUUCGCAAUGGGCGCAAGCCUGACGACGCAACGCCGCGUGGAGGAUGAAGG